UACGGUGGAUGAGUGGUUAGCACUGUUGCCCUCACAGCAAGUAGGUCAUGGGAUCUAUACCCACCUGUGGCCUUUCUGCAUGGAGUUUGCAUGUUCUCCCCAUGUUUGCGUAGGUUUUCUCCUGGUGC
This is a long non-coding RNA of Thalassophryne amazonica, 128 nucleotides long. RefSeq lists it as uncharacterized. NCBI's taxonomy places the organism in Eukaryota, Metazoa, Chordata, Actinopteri, Batrachoidiformes, Batrachoididae. The transcript is spliced from 3 exons. The record is from RefSeq and is a predicted model, not a curated record.